GCUCCACAGGGCCUGUGUUUGCCAGAUGACUUACAGAUGCAUCCCCAGAGACCUGGUCCCGUUUGUUCCACCCUCUUUGGCCCUGUGAAAUGUCUGCUUCUCCUUGGCAGCCUCUUGGUGCAUUUCAUGUACCCACCAAUGCCAAGGAAACGUGCCAGGCCCUAGGAACACAGGACAAAAUGAGGCCUUCUGGUCUCAGUCAGCUUCCAAUCUAUAGGGAAAUCUACCAUGUACAGAUGCAAAUAUAUACCCAAUAAAUAAGGGGAGCACCAUUAUUAUCUUCAAGCCAAGCUUUGGAGAGGCCCAGGAAAUCUAAGCGGGACAAGGGAGCAGAAGCUACAUUCCAGGCAGGGGGGACCAUCUGUGCAAAAGCACACUGAUGGAAAUGGAAUAUCCUGUGGGAGGAAUGGCAAGAAGGCCAAUGUGCUGGACCUUCAUAGAGUACAUGAAGCAGAAGCCCAUAGAAUGAGGCUGGAUAGGUGCGAGGGGACAGGUUGUGGAGGGCUUCGAAUGUCAGACAUAGGAGCCUGUAUUUGAUCUUGAAAGCUCCUGGAGUGAUAUGAUCAGACCUGUGCUUUCAGAAAAUCUCUUUGGUGACUGAACAGAGGAUGGACUGGAGUGGGAAGGGACUUGGGCAGGCAGAUCCCUUAGCAACUAGUGUGAUGGUCCAAUAGUGAGGGAUGGAGGGUCUGUACCAGUGUAAAAAGGGAGAGUAUCUGAGAGAGACUAAAGGAGUGAAAUGACCCAGAGAUGAGCCAGAAGUGAUAUUGACCAGAGAUGCCCUUGUUGUGAAAUUGACCAGAGGUGGGGCACAGGUGACAUUGACUAGAGAUGCCCUUGAUAUGAAAUUGACUAGAGAUGGGGCAGAGGUGAGAUUGACCAGAGUUGGGGCAGAGGUGAGAUUGACCAGAGAUGCCCUUGAUGUGAAAUUGACCAGAGGUGGGGCACAGGUGACAUUGACCAGAGAUACCCUUGAUAUGAAAUUGACUAGAGAUGGGGCAGAGGUGAGAUUGACUAGAGUUGGGGCAGAGGUGAGAUUGACCAGAGUUGGGGCAGAGGUGAGAUUGACCAGAGAUGCCCUUGAUGUGAAAUUGACCAGAAAUGGGGCAGAGGUGACAUUGACCAGAGAUGCCCUUGACGUGAAAUUGACUAGAGAUGGGGCAGAGGUGAGAUUGGCCAGAGAUGCCCUUGAUGUGAAAUUGACCAGAAAUGGGGCAGAGGUGACAUUGACCAGAGAUGCCCUUGACGUGAAAUUGACUAGAGAUGGGGCAGAGGUGAGAUUGGCCAGAGUUGGGACAGAGGUGAUAUUGACCAGAGAUGCCCUUGAUGUGACAUUGACUAGAAAUGGGGCAGAGAUGAGACUGACCAGAGAUGCCCUUGAGGUGAAAUUAACCAGAGAUUGGGCAGAGGUAGGAUUGAUCAGAGAUUCUCUUGAUGUGAAAUUUACCAGAGGUGAGAUUGACCAGAAAUGCCCUUGACGUGAAAUUGACCAAAGAUUGGGCAGAGGUGAGAUUGACCAGAGAUGCCCUUGAUGUGAAAUUGACCAGAGGUGAAAUCAAUAGGCCUUGGUACCCUCCCGGAUAAAAGGGGUAAAAGAGAAUGAAUCUAGGAUGACUUCAAGGUUAUGAACCUGAGGACUUUGGGGGAUGGGGGUACCUCACUGGUAUUGGGGACAGGAGAAGGGGGGAGGUAAUGAGUCAACUUUGGGCUCACUGCAGGCUGGAUGUGUCAAGAUUCUGCUCCAGCAUCCUAGGUCCCUGGUCCCAGCAUCAGUGGACACCACUUCUCCAUGGUCAUUUGGAAAAUGCACCUUCCUCACAGGAUGGUUGUGAAAAUGCGUGAGCCCCUCAACGAGUUUUUUCCUUUUUUUCCUUUGUCAUCAGCACCUAGUACAUAAUAAGUGCUUUCUUAAUGCUUGUUGUCUGAAUGAUAGACAUGAGAUUCUGUGACUCGUGGUGUCUCAGUGGCUCUAUGUCCAUAAAGGAACUACACAUCAUUUCUUAUUUUACCCUAAAGUCUGAGUCCCAGAGGCCUUUGCAGAUGGGUCUAGUAUAAGAGAAUUUUGGGAGGUGGGGAAGGGGGAAAACUGGAAUAGUUCCAAGGGCUCUUCCUAUCCCAGAUUGAACUAGAGCCCAGCUGGUCUCCUGUAAACUGAUCUGUUCAAAAUGAUUCUGCUUUCAGACUGUUAAAUGUAGGCUCCCCGAGAUGGGGACCAAUUCUGUUUUGAAGGGUCUUCGUAAACAUAGUAGUUGUUUGAUAAAUGCUGAAUGGAGUUAAGUGGAAUUGACUGGGAAGGAACAGUUCUCUUGCGCCUUCUCACCAAAGCCUC
Molecule: long non-coding RNA, 2329 nt
Organism: Antechinus flavipes (yellow-footed antechinus)
Lineage: Eukaryota; Metazoa; Chordata; Mammalia; Dasyuromorphia; Dasyuridae
Exons: 3
Source: RefSeq, a predicted model, not a curated record